GCGAAUGUAGUUCAAUGGUAGAACGCUAGCCUUCCAAGCUCGAUACGCGGGUUCGAUUCCCGUCAUUCGCU
This 71-nucleotide transfer RNA is filed under the name Periweissella ghanensis. RNAcentral's name for it is "tRNA-Gly". It matches the Rfam family "tRNA". Rfam says of the family: Transfer RNA (tRNA) molecules are approximately 80 nucleotides in length. Their secondary structure includes four short double-helical elements and three loops (D, anti-codon, and T loops). Lineage: Bacteria; Bacillati; Bacillota; Bacilli; Lactobacillales; Lactobacillaceae. RNAcentral also lists the same sequence under 4 other names. The record is from RNAcentral.